GGGCCCGUAGCUCAGUGGAAGAGCAGGUGACUCAUAAUCACUUGGUCGGAGGUUCGAACCCUUCCGGGCCCA
RNAcentral lists this transfer RNA (72 nucleotides) under Candidatus Omnitrophota bacterium. RNAcentral describes it as "Candidatus Omnitrophica bacterium tRNA-Met". It matches the Rfam family "tRNA". Rfam says of the family: Transfer RNA (tRNA) molecules are approximately 80 nucleotides in length. The record is from RNAcentral. Lineage: Bacteria; Pseudomonadati; Candidatus Omnitrophota.